GACGAACGCUGGCGGCGUGCUUAACACAUGCAAGUCGAACGGAAAGGCCCUGCUUUUGUGGGGUGCUCGAGUGGCGAACGGGUGAGUAACACGUGAGUAACCUGCCCUUGACUUUGGGAUAACUUCAGGAAACUGGGGCUAAUACCGGAUAGGAGCUCCUGCUGCAUGGUGGGGGUUGGAAAGUUUCGGCGGUUGGGGAUGGACUCGCGGCUUAUCAGCUUGUUGGUGGGGUUGUGGUUUACCAAGGCUUUGACGGGUAGCCGGCCUGGGAGGGUGACCGGCCACAGUGGGACUGAGAUACGGCCCAGACUCCUACGGGAGGCAGCAGUGGGGAAUAUUGCACAAUGGGCGGAAGCCUGAUGCAGCAACGCCGCGUGCGGGAUGACGGCCUUCGGGUUGUAAACCGCUUGCGCCUGUGACGAAGCGUUAGUGACGGUAAUGGGUAAAGAAGCACCGGCUAACUACGUG
RNAcentral lists this ribosomal RNA (468 nucleotides) under uncultured bacterium. RNAcentral describes it as "partial 16S ribosomal RNA". It matches the Rfam family "Bacterial small subunit ribosomal RNA", at positions 28 to 507 of the family's 1533-position model. The record is from RNAcentral.